This 708-nucleotide ribosomal RNA is filed under the name uncultured bacterium. Its description in RNAcentral is "bacterial SSU rRNA". It matches the Rfam family "Bacterial small subunit ribosomal RNA", at positions 10 to 722 of the family's 1533-position model. The record is from RNAcentral.
AGUUUGAUCCUGCUCAGGAUGAACGCUAGCGGCAGGCUUAACACAUGCAAGUCGAGGGGUAUCCUAGCAAUAGGAGAGACCGGCGCACGGGUGCGUAACGCGUAUGCAAUCUACCUUAUACAGGGGGAUAGCCCAGAGAAAUUUGGAUUAAUACCCCAUAGUAUAAUUGAAUGGCAUCAUUUAAUUAUUAAAGUUCCAACGGUAUAAGAUGAGCAUGCGUAUCAUUAGCUAGAUGGUAAGGUAACGGCUUACCAUGGCUACGAUGAUUAGGGGUCCUGAGAGGGAGAUCCCCCACACUGGUACUGAGACACGGACCAGACUCCUACGGGAGGCAGCAGUGAGGAAUAUUGGUCAAUGGGCGCAAGCCUGAACCAGCCAUGCCGCGUGCAGGAAGACGCAUCUAUGGUGUGUAAACUGCUUUUAUACAGGAAGAAACCCUAUCUCGUGAGGUAGAUUGACGGUACUGUAGGAAUAAGGAUCGGCUAACUCCGUGCCAGCAGCCGCGGUAAUACGGAGGAUCCAAGCGUUAUCCGGAAUCAUUGGGUUUAAAGGGUCCGUAGGCGGCUUAAUAAGUCAGUGGUGAAAUCCCAUCGCUCAACGGUGGAACGGCCAUUGAUACUGUUAGACUUGAAUUAUUUGGAAGUAACUAGAAUAUGUAGUGUAGCGGUGAAAUGCUUAGAGAUUACAUGGAAUACCAAUUGCGAAGGC